UUUUUUGUCGCCGUAAAAACAACAUGGUGCUUGUCAUGGUGAAGUUUGAUGUAACCCCAUGUUUUCUGACAUGAGCCCAACCUGAAGAAGAUGGAGCAAAGGCAACAUGUAUUAUACAGAAAAUGUAAAUCAAUAUAAGCCAUUUGAUAAGCAGAAUAAUUAUUGGCAGGGCUUAUUUUUACCAACUUAGCAUCAGUUAUCAAAUAAUUGGGGGGGGGGUAAAAUUAUGUAUACAGACAACACAGUAUUUAUAACAACAAUAAUUGUUCACCUGUAUAAAAACCACCCUGCUAGCCACUAAUAGGUCUUAAAAAAAUACCCCACAUCCAUAAAUGCAUGACUUCAGCUGGCCUCUACAUGUACAUGUAUGUAAAUAAUAUCUGUAUUCUAAUAUUCUAAUUUCUGUUGAUACAUUUGUAAAUCAAGAUAUAUGUAGGUUGUCACUUACUUUAAAAGUUAACAAUUUUUAUUCUUUGAUAUAACUUUAAUAUCCACAUUCAUACCUACACAAUUUAGUCCUUAUAACUACGAUGUCUUGCAAGUAUAUUUUUAUUUUUUUUCUGCCAGGAUGAAGAUGUUUUUUAAUAAUUAUUUUGACUACAUUCAAUACCCAUAGAUUUAUUUUAACAUCAGCUAGUGGGCCCACACUUAUGAAAAUUUCUGGAUCUGCCACUGAUUAUCAUAUUUGUACUUAAAGUCUACCAUGUUGUACAGUUUGUCCAGAAAGAGUCUUCAACAAUUUUUUCCAAUUAAGUUGGUUCAGCAGGGGAUGCAAGUACGAAAGCCUGGAUGGGGGGUGUGUGGGGGUAUGUAAACAUUUAAUUUUCACCCCUUUUCUCUAUUCUUCAAAAAAUUAACACCUUUUUUCUCUAAUCUUCAUUUUUUUUGCCCGUUAUUCUCUAAUCUUCAUUUUUUAAGGGCAUUAUUCUUUAAUCAUUUAACCCUAUCCAAACCCUCAAGUACAACCGACAAAACAAAGUAAGUAAAGUAAAAGUACUCGCAUAUCAUUCUGUUUUCUAGCAAGGACUAGAGAGUGAAGUGUUUAGAAAGCGACAAAUUAAAUAUGAUAGUAAUAAAUUGUUAAAUGAUAGUAGAUGCAUAACUAAAUCAACACUUAUAUCUUUCUUAGAUUCACCAUAGUUUGUUUUAAAGUAAAUCUUUUUCUGGUACAAAUGUGGUAGUUUAAAUACUUUGUGCACUAAUAUGUGUUAGUUUUUGCAAACAAAUGCACACAAAGAAAGAAUAGAUAGGGACAUAGGCUCAUACAAACAGCUGGUGAAAGUUUUGCCAAUUGAUUUGAAUCUGUUUUUUUAUUAUUCCAUUUAUAAAGGUAGAAAUCAUAGUUAUGUAGUUUAUGUCCAUGUGACAUUAUCAGACACUAAAAAAUUAUUCCCUGAAUUUUUACAAAGGCCAAAUGAUACCAUGAUGGAUUGCUUGACUGUAAGCUGUCAAAAUUAUCUCCCUUUGACCAAAACUUGAAAUUAAAAUUUUUUCAUUAUAGUAAACUUUUGAAAAAAGCAUAUAAAUUUAAAAGAAAGCAGUAUAAACAAAACAUAUUAAAUAAACUUAAAAAUCUGUCUCCUACAGAGAGUAAGCAAUUUUGGAAUAUCUUAAAAGGAAUAAAUAAAAGAGAAACAAACUCAAAUGAUUCACCACUUUUUGAUCUUAAUCUGCUAGCUAAACACUUUAAAACACAAGGAGAACCAGAUAAAAUAGAUGAAAAUUUCAAAAAUUUAAUAUCUAAAAAGGUAGAAAACAGGGAACAAAAAUUAAAUGAAAAACAAACAGAUAACCCUAUUAAAAUAUCUGAAAUAAAAAAUGUUAUAAAAUCACUAAAGCAUGGUAAAAGUACUGGCCCAGACUUAAUUUGUUAUGAAAUAAUAAAACACAGUAGUCAAGUAAUGCUAACUUCAUUAUCAAAAUGCUUUAAUCUAAUAUUAGAUAGUUCAAUUUAUCCAGAUCAGUGGAAUAAAUCAUAUAUAAUACCUAUUUUUAAACACGGAGACUUACUUGAUCCAGCUAAUUAUAGGGGUAUUUCCCUGAUGAAUUGUUUAAGUAAGAUAUUUAAUUCUGUUUUAAAUAACAGGUUGAUAAUAAUUUUUGAAGAUAACAUGAAUCCAGCACAGUUUGGAUUCCGAAAGAAUAAUAGAACUUCAGAUAGUUUGUUUAUUUUAAAAACAGUUAUUAAUAAAUAUAUAAAUAAUAAAAAACCAAAAAUUAUUUGGAUGUUUUGUAGAUUUGAAGAAGGCAUUUGACUCAGUUUGGAGACUAGGCCUUCUAUAUAAAUUGAUCAAGACUGAUAAUAUGAGACCUAAAUUAUAUAAAUUGAUCAAGACUGAUAAUAUGAGACCUAAAUUAUAUAAAGUGUUAAAAAAUAUGUAUGAAUGCACUGAAGCUUCAGUAAAAUAUAAAGAAAACAUAUCUGAUUCAGUAUUUAUAGAUAGAGGCUUGAAACAGGGUGACAGCCUCAGCCCAAAUCUUUUUAAUAUUUAUAUAAAUGACCUUCCUGAAAUUUUUGAUAGUGACUGUAAACCAGUAAAUCUCAAUAACAUGUCAUUAAGUUGUCUUAUGUUUGCCGAUGAUUUACUUUUAUUGUCUGAAAGUGCAGAGGGUUUACAGAAGUCAUUAGAGAAAUUAAGUAACUAUUGUAAAAAAUGGCAGUUGUCAAUCAACAUAAAUAAAACUAAAGUGAUAGUAUUUCAACAAAAAAACAUACCAUACACUAAAGCAGAGUUUACUUUGGAUGGUUAUAAAUUAGAAAAAGUAUUAAAAUAUAAAUAUUUAGGUAAUAUUAUAGAGGCUUCUGGUAAAUUCCAUACAUCACAUAUGGAACUAUCAAAAAAAGGCACAAAAGUUCUAUUCAGUUUGUUUAAAUAUUUGAAUAAUAUAGAAAAUAUACCUAUAAAAUAUACAUAAAAAACUGUUUGAAUCUUUAAUAAAACCUAUUUUAAUGUAUAACUCAGAAAUUUGGUAUAUGGACUACUAUGAAAAAAUAUUAAGAUCUCAGAGUAGAGCAAUAAAUAAUCAUAAAGAUUUUGAUUUACUAACAUCAAUUGAUAAUAGCUUUAUUGAAAAGGUGAAUUUAAAAUUUUGCAAAUUAAUUCUAGGUUUAAGUAAAAAAGCAGUAAACAUUGCAUCAAGGGCAGAGUUAGGACAAUAUCCAAUAGAUGUAUAUGUAAAGGUUCAAGCACUAAAAUAUAUGGCAAGAGUAUCUAACACAGAAAUUAAUCCGUUGUUAUAUGAUGCAUAUUGCACAGCUAAACUGUUGGAUGAAACAGGAACCUAUUCUUGGUAUACCUUUGUAAAAAAUAUAACUCAUGAAAAUAAUUUAAAUAUAUCUGAUAUACAAAAUAUUGACUUUAUAAAAGAAAAAUAUAAAAUGAAUAAACACAUGAAAGAGAUUGUGCAAGAAAACUAUAAAAAGCUGUUCUUUAAAAAAUUAAAUUCUUUAACAGAAAAUAAUAAAUUAUUUAUCUAUAGUAAAUUCAAAAAGAAAUAUGAAACUGAGCCUUAUUUACUUAAAGAGAAUAACUUUGAAAUAAGGAAAAAAUUCACUAAAUUAAGGGUGAGUGACCAUAUUUUGGAAAUUGAAAGGGGUAGAUACAAAAAUAUAAAAAGAGAAGAACGUUUAUGUCAACAUUGUUGUCUAAAUAAAAUAGAUGAUGAAGAGCAUUUUUUAUUUACAUGUACAAAAAUAAAGAUUUGAGAUUUGAAUUUUUGCAAAAAGUUAAAAAUAUCUAUUCCGAUAUAGAUAAUAUGGAUAAUUUGGAUAAAUUGGUUUUAUGUCUUUCUUGUCCGUCAAUUAUGCAGUAUGCUGCUUCAUUUGUUAACCAGGUGCUCCGCAGGGCGCAGCUUUAUACGACCGCAGAGUCGACCUGAACAGUUGGGGCAAGUAUGGACAAAACAUUCAAGCGUGAUACAGCUCUGAAUUUGGUUGUGAUCAAAUUUUUGAAUUACAUGGUUUUUUUUUACACAAAACAAAUGUCAAGAUUUUUACAAAUCAAUUAAAGAUUUCUUCUUCAAACUUUUUAAAUCUAAAAUUAAAUAGUUGACACAGCAUAGGCUUCUGACACAGAAUGAAUGUGGUCUAAUGAACUUAAAAGUUUUUUUUUACAUUUGAGCAAUUCACUAUGCUGUUGAAUAUUAAUUCUCUGAAAAAAAUGUUUGAAGAAAUUUUCUUUUUAUUUAUGAAAUCUGUAAUGAGAAAAAUUUAACCCCCCCCCCUUUUUUCACAUCCCCGUUUCCCUUUUUCCAAAACUGAUAUCAAUUCAAAUUUCUAAUGGAGUUUGCAAAUAACUACUCUUUUAAAUAUAUCAUAAAAUAUUAAAAUGUAAAAUAAAGUGCUUGUUAUCACUGAAUGGUAAAGAUUGGUUGGUAGUAAAAGUGAAUAUACAUUGUUUAUUGUAUAAAACAAUAAAAAAAAACUUCAUCAGCAACAUUUUAUAUUGGCAAAUUUCCAAUGAAGUUAUUUACAUAAAGUUAUUGGCAAAUAAAAAUAGAAAAUGACAUCAUAGUCAUGUCUGGCAAAUGUCCAACAUACAUUAUCUAAAACAUUUUAGAUAAGAUAAGGAAAAAAAGCUUCAUCAGCAACAUUUUAUAUUGGCAAAUUUCCAAUGAAGUUAUUUACAUAAAGUUAUUGGCAAAUAAAAAUAGAAAUAAAAAUAGAAAAUGACAUCAUAGUCAUGUCUGGAAAAUUUCCAACAUAUAUUAUCACUACUAUUCUAUACAAAGAAAGAUAACUCCAAUUGAAAAUUAAUUGCUAUUGCACAAUAUUGUGCAAUUAGAUAUUUCUUGCUAUUGUGCAAUACUGUGCAAUUGAAAAUUUCUUGCUAUUGCACAAUACUUGAUAUGGAAUCCUGAUUUGGACCAACUUGAAAACUGGGCCCAUAAUAAAAAAUCAAAGUACAUAUUUAGAUAAAGCAUAUCAAAUAAGCCCAAGAAUUUAAUUUUUGUUAAAAUCAAACUUAGUUUAAUUUUGCGCCCUUUAGGACCUUAAUGCUAGAUCCAAUUUGAGAAACUGAUCGCAAAAAUUAUAUCAACAUCUUACCAUACACAGUUAGAUUGUGGCAUAUCAAAGAACCCACUUUAUUUCAAUUUUGAUGAAAUCAAACACAAGUAUUAAUUUCUGCGACCCUCCCCAUUAUUGGACCAACUUGCAAAACUAGGCCAAUAAUUAAAAAUCUAAGUACAUUUUUAAAUUCAGCAUAUCAAAGAACCCCAAGGAUUCAAUUUUUGUUAAUAUCAAACUAAGUUUAAUUUUGGACCCUUUGGACCUAAUGUAGACCAAUUUGAAAACGGGACCAAAAAUUAAAAAUCUACAUACAUAGUUAGAUUCAGCAUAUCAAAGAACCCCAAUUAUUCAAUUUUUGAUGAAAUCACACAAAGUUUAAUUUUGGACCCUUUGGCCCCUUAUUCCUAAACUGUUAGGACCAAAACUCCCAAAAUCAAACCCAACCUUCCUUUUAUGGUCAAAAACCUUGUGUUUAAAUUUCAUAGAUUUCUAUUUACUUACACUAAAGUUAUGGUGCAAAAACCAAAAAUAAUGCUUAUUUGGGCCCUUUUUUGGCCCUUAAUUCCUAUUACUGUUGGAACCAAAACUCCCAAAAUCAAUCCCAACCUUCCUUUUGUGGUCAUAAACCUUGUUGUUCAAAAUUUCAUAGUGAAAUGGUAUUUUUAAGGAAAUGCUUUGCAGUUCUUUGGUUAUUAUCUCAUGAAUGACUUAUUAUAGAUAGAAGAUAAACUGUAAUACAUGCAAUAAUGUUCAGCAAAGUAGAGACCACAAAUAGUGCAACAUGACAAAAUUGUCAGUUGACCCUUAAGGAGUAUUGCCCUUAUCAGGUCAAUUCUUUAACAACAUUUUCGUACAAUUUUUUGUAACUUUUCUAAAAAUCUCUUCCCAAAAACGUCUACUUUCGCCAAAUUUACAAACUGCACAAUUAUUCUAUUGUCGGUUUAUAGUUUAAAAAUGUGUCCGAUGACCCAGGCCUACCAAUACUCAAAAUGCCGACAUGGCCCUAUAUAAUUGAGACAUAUGCGUUAAAAUGCCCAGUUUUAUUGCUUAUAUCAUCUUUGAAACACUAAGGACAUUUCAUGGGCAAAUCUAAAUGUCCAUCAGAAUAAAGAUAUUAUUCCCCUCACUAAAUUUCUAGAGUCUUGAAUCGGACAACCUGUUGUUGGCGUUGCUGCCCUAAAAUGGUGAUUUUAACGGAAAUUUUGCAGUCUUGUUGGUUAUUAUCUUGAAUACUCAUUACUACGAUUAGAGAUCAAACUGUAUAACAGCACAUAAUGUUCAGCAAAGUAUAGCAUCUACAAAUAAGUCAGCAUGCGAUUCAAAUUGUACUAGAGACCCCUUAAGGAGUUAUUGCCCUUAUAUAGUCAAUAUUAACAACUUUCGUCAUCGUCUUUUGCAACUUGCUCAUAAAAAUCUUUUCCUAAAUGACGUUGGCCAAAAUCUUAACCAAACCUUGGCCUACAAUCAUAAUACUUAGGGCUAUCUAUUUUUAAAAAAAAAGUGCUCUAAUGACCCUGCCUACCAACGAAGAAUGGCAUCCGACAUUCAGUAAAACACAUUAAAGGUGAGCGACACAGGCUCUGAGAGCCUUCUAGUUUUUUUUGCUUGAAGAUAAAAUUUAUGCUCUAUAAUAACAAAGUUCAGCAUAUAUAAGUCUGUAAAUAAGGGAAAUACACUUGUUGUAUGUUGGUUCGAAUCCAACUGCAGACGAACAAAUGUAAGCUCAGUUAAGUCUUAUGAAGAGCAUUUCUUUUUUUUAUCAUUUGUAUCAACCAAUAGCAAUGAUUUCUUUAAUAGCUUCUUUAAUAAUAAUAUGGAAAAUAACUGGUAUACUUUUUCCUACAGGACUUUUCUGUCUUUUUUAUUUCAAAAAAAGGAAAGAAGCACAAUUUCAUUUAAUUGGCAUGUAUGCCAAAAAACAAUAGAAAGUUAUAAAAUAUACAUACCUGUAACAAAUAUCAUUACUUGAAUAUUCAAAGAAUGCUUUACCAUCUUUGGCUUUCACCUCUGGUAUAGUUUUGAAUAUUCACUAUUAUUUCUAUCAUCAUUUGCUGUUGGUGUUUUAACACUAACAGGAAAAAUAUCAAACCUGACAUUACUUUUAUUCCUGUAAAAACUAAAGUUACUCUCCAUCUGAAUGAGAUAGCUAGCACGAGACUUAUUUAUAGAUUUUUUAAACAAAAUGCAAUAUGAUUAGAAAAACAAAGAUCAUGGACCAAUAUUGAUGGUACGCAUAAAUAUAAAUGCACAGACACGUGCAAGUCAUAUCAAACUUACAGUUGCGAGUUAACUUAAUUUUGCUAUAAAAGGCUUACUUAUUUCUGUUCAGAGAAAAAUUAACUGUAGGUGCUAGCCAUUAAUUUGCCACCUGAGAGUACCCUUGGCAGGGACGAAACAGUAAACCUACAUCUUACAUUAAAGAAAAGAUAUUACUUGUUUAUAUAUUGAUGCAUUGAUAUUUUCAGUAGGUGUUGAUUUUUAUGCCCCACCUACGAUAGUAGAGGGGCAUUAUGUUUUCUGGUCUGUGCGUCCGUUCGUCCGUUCGUUCGUCCGGUUCGUGUCGUCCGUCUGUACCCGCCCUUCAGGUUUAAAGUUUUUGGUCGAGGUAGGUUUUCUGAUGAAAGGUUGAAGUCCAAGUCGCUUCAAACUUGUUACACCAUGUUCGCUCUAUGAUAUGAUUUCUUCUAAUUUUAUGGCCAAUAGCAGAGUGUUUACCCCUACAUUUACGGUUCACUGAUAGAAAACUGGUCUAGUGUCAAAUUUUCAGGUUAAAGUUUUUCGCUUCAGGUUAAAGUUUUUUGGUCAAUGGUAAGUUUUUGAUGAAAGUGAAUUCCAUUAUCAACUUGAAACUUAGUAUACAUUUGUGCCCUAUGAUUAUGAUUCUUUCUAAUUUAAAUGCCAAAUUAGAGUUUGACCCCAAUUUACGUUCACUGAACAUAGAAAAUGAUUUAGGUGCAAAUUUCAGGUUAAAGUUUUUGGCCUUCACGGUUAAAGUGUUUUGCGUCACAGGGUAGUUGCUUUGUGAUUAAGUUGAAGUCGCACAUACAACUUUGAAAUCUUAGCUAUACAUGGCCCCUUAUGAUAUGAUCUUUCUAUUUAUACAUGACCAAAUUAGAGUUUUGACCCAUUUUACGGCUUCACUAACCAUAGGGAAAGGCACUAGGUGCAGAAUGUUCAGGCGUUAAAGUUUUGGCUUGCAGAGUUAAAUGUUUUUGGUUCAGGUUAGUUUUUGAUGAAGUUAAGUCCAAAAUCAACUUGAAACCUUAGCUAGUACUAGUGCCCUAUGAUAUGCAUCUUUCUAAUUUAAAUGCCCUAAAUUAGAGUUCUUGAUCCCCAAUUACGGUUCCACUUGAACACUAGCAAACAUGAAGUGCAAAUUUCAGCUUUAAAGUUUUUGUCAACGGUAGUUUUUGGAUAAAGUAGAAGUCCAAUCAACUUCGAAACUUAGUAUACCUGUUCCCUUUGAUAAGCAUCAAUUCUAAUUUGAAUGCCAAAUUUAGAGAAUUAUAUGUGCGCAACUUUUCAUAAACCAGUCCUUUUAGAACAUAGGAAACAUGAGUAGUGGGACGCUGCGGGCAUCCGUGUACCUUGGACACAUUCUUGUUUAAUAUAUUAUGUAUUUUUGGCUAAAUGAAUUAUCAGAUGCAACUCUUACAUGAGAUGCAUUUAAGUCAAAAAUUAUCUAAAAUGUGUCUUUUUUUCUUCAAAUUCAUUACAACUUUUAACUUUUUGAUUCGGCAAUCCCAAUUGAUUGUUUCAACACAUUUUUUUAUCAUUCACUGUAGACUGUAUAUUGCCAUCUCGUGUAUAAUCAAACCAGGAAGAUUCUUUAACUGCAGAAAUUUGAAGCGUUGAAAUACAAAGAUGGGCAUAUGUUAUUGUUCUAACCCUGAUUUAAAGAACGGUUGCCUAGAUUUUCUUAAGAAUUGUAAGUUUUGCGUACUCUUCAGGUCCGACAUCUAGCGUCUCAUAAUGCAUACUAUGCGCAGCCAAGCCUUGAGAUUGAUUUCGGUCCAAUGUUUAGAAUUUAGGCGCCAAAAAGAGGGCCUUAAAUAAGCAUUUUCAUUUUGUUUUUGCACGAAUAAUCCUUCAGUAUAAAAGGUGAAUAGAAAUUUUGCUAUGAAAAUUUAAACAUAAGUUUCGUUGGACCUCAAAAGAAUAGCGUUGAGAUUGAUUUUUGGCGUUCGGGUCUCCAACUCCUUUCUGAAAAAAGGCCAAAAAGCGGCUCAACUACAUUUUGUAAGUAGUGCAUUUUGGUUUUCGCUCACCAUCACUUGCAGCAUAUUUCUUAAGUAAAUAGAAAUCUAUAAAAUUUAAAACACCCAAGGUUUGUCAUGACCACAAAAGGUAGGUUGGGAUUGAUUUUGUCUGUUUGCGGUCUCAAAGAUUAGGAAUUAGCGGGCCAAAAAGGUGGGCAUAAAUAAGCAUUUUUCUGGGGUUUUCACUUCAAUGUACCUUAGUAUAAAGUACAAUAGAGAAUCUAUGAAAUUUUGAAACCGACAAGGUUCGAUGACCCCAAAAGGAAGCGUUGGGCAUGGAUUUUUGGGGGUUUUGGUCCCAACAGUUUAGGAAUUAAGGGACAAAAAGAGGUCCAAAAAUUAAAACUUCUAUUAAUAUAAUUGAAAUUAUCACGGGUUAUUUGACGUAUGCUGAAUCUAAACAUGCUACUCAGAUUUUUGAUUAUUGCCCAGUUUUCAAGUUGGUCCAAAUUGCGGGUCCAAAUUAAUACUUUGUUUGACUUUCAACAAAAAUUGGAAUUCUUGGUUCUUUGAUUAUGCCGAACUCUAAACACCUUGUACUUAGAUAUUUUCGAUGAUGCGGCCUAGCUUCACAACUGGUAUUACAUUAGGUCCAAAGGCGUCCAAAAUUAAAUGAGUUCGAUUUUACAAAAAAUGCAUUUCUUGGUAAGGGUUUCUUUGAUAUGCCGCACCACUUAAACAGUGUACUUAGAUUUCUCGAUAUAUGGGCCCCGAGUUUUCAAACUGGUCUAAAUCCAGGUCCAAAUUGCAACAAAAAUGAAUAUAUGGAUGAUAUAGUUUGAUUAAUGCCUGAAUCUGAAUCCAUAGUGUAUUAUCAGAUUUUUGAUCAUUGGGGACCGUUUGAUCAAAGGAGAGGUCAGUAAGACUCCUUUUUGGCCCAAAUAUCAGUCGUUUACAAAAUUGUUAAGUAAGCCUAAACUUGUUAUUAUUUAAUGGACAGGUAGAAUGCUUCUGCUUUACUAUAAAUAUUCGGGCUGUUUUGACAAUGACAAUGCACAUAUAUCGGGGUACUGAGGCCCAAUAAGUCCAUGAUAAAUUACUAAAAUAUUGAGAAUUAAUCAAGUUGCUAUUUGAUGAUAAUACAUAACAUAUAAAGGUUGAGGAUGAACACGGAUGCGGCCACUUUCAUUUUUGACAAAAAACAUCUGAAAAGUGACAUUUUUCGGCAUAUUUGGUAGAUUUGUCAUAUUUAAGCUUGAAUCGGAACGUUUUUAAUGAUUAAAUUAGUUAAAAUUUUUCACAUAAAUUAAUUGAAUCAAAUGAAAUAGACACUUAAGUGUUUUAAAAGUGGUCAAAAUCUUUUGUCAGAUGAAUCUGAAAUUUGAGGCCAAAAUCGGUCCUUACCGGACCUACUCCUUUGUCGACAUUGAGGUCUAAAAGUUUCAAAAUGGAACUUAAUUAGAUUUCUUCAAAAAUUGAAUUCUUGGGGUUAUUUGAUAUGCUAAAUCUAAAAAUGUAUUUUGAUUUUGGAUAUUGGACAAUAACAGGUAAAUUUCCAAUUCAAUUUUAGACCACAUUCAUUCUGUGUCAGAAACCUAUUUUGUGUCAACUAUUUAUUCACAAUCCAAAUUCAGAGCUAUAUCAAGCUUGAAUGUUGUGUCAAUACUUGCCCAACUGUUCAGGAUUCGACCUCUGGGGUCUUAUAAAGCUGUGCCUUGCGGAGCAUCUGGUUAAAGUUAUACUUCUUUAUUAUUUUAGCUCCUUAGUCUAGUUUGGACAAAUUUUUUAAAUGUUUAGGAUUAAGAUGACUUUUAAAAUUUGAAGUAAUAUUAAUUUGAGUCAAAUAAGGGUCUUUUAUGCCCCUACUCCUUUGAGAUAUUGAAUAAAGUGUUGACAUUUAAACGGCUGGAUUGACAAACAAUGGCAUACCAUGUAUAUCCCUUAACUUCAUAAAAACCAGAAAUUACAAAGAUAAAAAAAAUUUUUUUAUUAUAUUUUCAGAUCACAAUUAUGUUAACCUGAUCAUAGGAGGUUUAUCUAGAAACAUGAGAAGCAUUACAAGCCUGCAUAGAUUAUACACACAAAUGGAAUAGACUCUCACUUUAAAAGAACUUACAAACAAGACUUAAGAACUCAUAAAAAAAAUGAUUCAUGUUUCAAUGAGUGAAUUGGAGUGAUUCUAAUUGCACAUGAAAAUUUGUGUGCAU
This 11417-nucleotide long non-coding RNA is filed under the name Mytilus galloprovincialis (Mediterranean mussel). Lineage: Eukaryota; Metazoa; Mollusca; Bivalvia; Mytilida; Mytilidae. The record is from RNAcentral.